This 377-nucleotide ribosomal RNA is filed under the name uncultured bacterium. RNAcentral describes it as "bacterial SSU rRNA". It matches the Rfam family "Bacterial small subunit ribosomal RNA", at positions 521 to 896 of the family's 1533-position model. The record is from RNAcentral.
UAAUACGUAGGGGGCUAGCGUUGUCCGGAAUCAUUGGGCGUAAAGCGCGUGUAGGCGGUUCGGUAAGUCCGCUGUGAAAGUCGGGGGCUCAACCCUCGAAAGCCGGUGGAUACUGUCGGGCUAGAGUACGGAAGAGGCGAGUGGAAUUCCUGGUGUAGCGGUGAAAUGCGCAGAUAUCGGGAGGAACACCAGUGGCGAAGGCGACUACCUGGCCUGUUCUUGACGCUGAGGCGCGAAAGCUAGGGGAGCAAACGGGAUUAGAUACCCCGGUAGUCCUAGCCGUAAACGAUGGACACUAGGUGUUGGUGGUAUCAACCCCGCCAGUGCCGAAGCUAACGCAUUAAGUGUCCCGCCUGGGGAGUACGGCCGCAAGGCUA